Molecule: ribosomal RNA, 495 nt
Filed under: uncultured bacterium
Lineage: Bacteria
Description: partial 16S ribosomal RNA
Rfam family: Bacterial small subunit ribosomal RNA
Source: RNAcentral
GACGAACGCUGGCGGCGUGCCUAAUACAUGCAAGUAGAACGCUGAAGGAGGAGCUUGCUUCUCCGGAUGAGUUGCGAACGGGUGAGUAACGCGUAGGUAGCCUGCCUGGUAGCGGGGGAUAACUAUUGGAAACGAUAGCUAAUACCGCAUAAGAGUAGAUGUUGCAUGACAUUUGCUUAAAAGGUGCAAUUGCAUCACUACCAGAUGGACCUGCGUUGUAUUAGCUAGUUGGUGAGGUAACGGCUCACCAAGGCGACGAUACAUAGCCGACCUGAGAGGGUGAUCGGCCACACUGGGACUGAGACACGGCCCAGACUCCUACGGGAGGCAGCAGUAGGGAAUCUUCGGCAAGGGACGGAAGUCUGACCGAGCAACGCCGCGUGAGUGAAGAAGGUUUUCGGAUCGUAAAGCUCGGUUGUAAGAGAAGAACGAGUGUGAGAGUGGAAAGUUCACACUGUGACGGUAUCUUACCAGAAAGGGACGGCUAACUACGUG